Molecule: ribosomal RNA, 232 nt
Filed under: uncultured bacterium
Lineage: Bacteria
Description: partial 16S ribosomal RNA
Rfam family: Bacterial small subunit ribosomal RNA
Source: RNAcentral
CGGACGGGUGAGUAAUGUCUGGGAAACUGCCUGAUGGAGGGGGAUAACUACUGGAAACGGUAGCUAAUGCCGCAUAACGUCGCAAGACCAAAGAGGGGGACCUUCGGGCCUCUUGCCAUCGGAUGUGCCCAGAUGGGAUUAGCUAGUAGGUGGGGUAACGGCUCACCUAGGCGACGAUCCCUAGCUGGUCUGAGAGGAUGACCAGCCACACUGGAACUGAGACACGGUCCAG